CGCCAGGAUAUUACGAGCCUAUGCUUAAAACCCAAAGGACUUGACGGUGUCCCACCCAUCUAGAGGAGCCUGUUCUAUAAUCGAUAACCCCCGCUACACCCCACCAUUUCUUGCCCCCCCCGCCUGUAUACCGCCGUCGCAAACCUACCAUAUGAAUGUCUUCAGUAGGUUAAAAGGCCCUCGCCAACACGUCAGGUCAAGGUGCAGCUCAUGAAAUGGGAAGAAAUGGGCUACAAUUUCUAAGCUAGAACAAACGAAAAACUAUGUGAAACCACAGUAUCGAAGGCGGAUUUAGUAGUAAAAAGAAAAUAGCGUGUUCUUUUUAACUCGGCCCUGGGACGUG
This 343-nucleotide ribosomal RNA is filed under the name Nyctibatrachus sp. IN. RNAcentral's name for it is "partial 12S ribosomal RNA". It matches the Rfam family "Bacterial small subunit ribosomal RNA", at positions 870 to 1383 of the family's 1533-position model. Lineage: Eukaryota; Metazoa; Chordata; Amphibia; Anura; Nyctibatrachidae. The record is from RNAcentral.